GACGAACGCUGGCGGCGUGCCUAAUACAUGCAAGUCGAGCGAAUCAAUACGAGCUUGCUCCUGUUGGUUAGCGGCGGACGGGUGAGUAACACGUGGGCAACCUGCCUGUAAGACCGGGAGAACUUCGGGAAACCGGAGCUAAUACCGGAUAAUCCUUUUACACUCAUGGGGGAAAGCUGAAAGUCGGUUUCGGCUGACUCGUACCGAUGGGCCCGCGGCGCAUGAGCUAGUUGGUGAGGUAACGGCUCACCAAGGCGACGAUGCGUAGCCGACCUGAGAGGGUGAUCGGCCACACUGGGGCUGAGGCACGGCCCUAACUCCUACGGGGGGCAGCAGUAGGGAAUCUUCCGCAAUGGACGAAAGUCUGACGGAGCAACGCCGCGUGAGCGAUGAAGGCCUUCGGGUCGUAAAGCUCUGUUGUUAGGUAAGAAUAAGUAUCGGAGUAACUGCCGGUACCUUGACGGUACCUAACCAGAAAGCCACGGCUAACUACGUGCCAGCCGCCGCCGUAA
Molecule: ribosomal RNA, 512 nt
Filed under: uncultured bacterium
Lineage: Bacteria
Description: partial 16S ribosomal RNA
Rfam family: Bacterial small subunit ribosomal RNA
Source: RNAcentral